CAGUCGCCGCUGGAAUACGUGGGUGGCAAGCGUUGUCCGGAAUUAUUGGGCGUAAAGGGCUCGCAGGCGGUUUCUUAAGUCUGAUGUGAAGGCCCCCGGCUCAACCGGGGAGGGUCAUUGGAAACUGGGAAACUUGAGUGCAGAAGAGGAGAGUGGAAUUCCACGUGUAGCGGUGAAAUGCGUAGAGAUGUGGAGGAACACCAGUGGCGAAGGCGACUCUCUGGUCUGUAACUGACGCUGAGGAGCGAAAGCGUGGGGAGCGAACAGGAUUAGAUACCCGCGUAGUCCCUGUCUCUUAUAC
RNAcentral lists this ribosomal RNA (301 nucleotides) under uncultured bacterium. Its description in RNAcentral is "partial 16S ribosomal RNA". It matches the Rfam family "Bacterial small subunit ribosomal RNA", at positions 509 to 807 of the family's 1533-position model. The record is from RNAcentral.